Molecule: long non-coding RNA, 323 nt
Filed under: Homo sapiens (human)
Lineage: Eukaryota; Metazoa; Chordata; Mammalia; Primates; Hominidae
Description: HSALNT0072359
Source: RNAcentral
GGUGCAAAGAGUCUACUCUGCCUACUCUGUCAUUCAAAGCUUGGUUGAGAACUGGCUAAAUAAGUGAGAUCACUUCUAUACAAAUAGAAUACCAUGCACAGAUUAUAAAAUGAUUCUAUGUAUGAAACCAUGUGUAUACAUGUAUAUAAUUAGCAAACACCCAAACAGUGGCUCUUUAUGGGCAAUAGGAUUAUGAUCAUAACUGUGGAAUAAAGAAGAGACCCAGAGAACAAGAGUGAGUGCCCACUGGGAAGUGUUCUAAACUGCCAAGUUCUACAACGACGUACCAUCCUCAGUGGUAAGGUAAGUUGGCAGCAGGGAAC